GCGCGAAAACUUUACAAUGCUGGCAACAGCGAUAAGGGAACCUCGAGUGCCGGGUUACGAAUCUGGCUGUCGAGAUGCCUAAAAAGCAUUUCAUAGCAAGGGCCGGGCAAGACCGGUGCCAGCCGCCGCGGUAACACCGGCGGCUCGAGUGGUAACCGUUAUUAUUGGGUCUAAAGGGUCUGUAGCCGGCCGGAUAAGUCCCUUGAGAAAUCUGGCAGCUUAACUGUCAGGCUUUCAGGAGAUACUGUCUGGCUCGAGGCCGGGAGAGGUGAGAGGUACUUCAGGGGUAGGGGUGAAAUCUUGUAAUCCUUGAAGGACCACCAGUGGCGAAGGCGUCUCACCAGAACGGACCUGACGGCAAGGGACGAAAGCUAGGGGCACGAACCG
Molecule: ribosomal RNA, 387 nt
Filed under: uncultured bacterium
Lineage: Bacteria
Description: bacterial SSU rRNA
Rfam family: Archaeal small subunit ribosomal RNA
Source: RNAcentral